UUCCGGUUGAUCCUGCCGGACCAGACUGCUGUUGGAGUUCGACUAAGCCAUGCAAGUCUUCCGGAAGGAGGCGAAAGGCUGAGUAACACGUAGGUAACCUACCUUAUGGAGGGGCAUACCCUCGGGAAACUGAGGAUAAUUCCCCAUAGGAUUUGGUGACUGGAAUGUCCCAAAACCCAAAGCUUCGGCGCCAUAAGAUGGGCCUGCGGCCUAUCAGGUUGUUGGCGGGGUAAUGGCCCACCAAGCCUUUGACGGGUAGGGGCAGUGAGAGCUGAAGCCCCCAGACGGGCACUGAGAUACUGGCCCGAGCCUUACGGGGUGCAGCAGGCGCGAAACCUUUACAAUGCACGCAAGUGUGAUAAGGGAACUCCAAGUGCCAUUGCUUUUUGCAAUGGCUUUUUUUGAGUGUAAACAGCUCUAGGAAUAAGAGCUGGGUAAGACAGGUGCCAGCAGCCGCGGUAAUACCUGCAGCUCAAGUGGUCUGGAUUUUUAUUGGGUCUAAAGCGUUUGUAGCCGGACUCGCAAGUCUUCUGUGAAAUCUGACGGCUUAACCGUCAGGCGUGCAGGGGAAACUACAAGUCUAGGGACCGGGAAGGGCCAAAGAUACUCUAGGGGUAGGGGUGAAAUCCAAUAAUCCUUAGGGGAUCGCCAGUGGCGAAGGCGUUUGGCUAGAACGGGUCCGACGGUGAGGGACGAAAGCUAGGGGAGCGAACGGGAUUAGAUACCCCGGUAGUCCUAGCCGUAAAUGAUGUGGACUAGGUGUUGCAUUCCCCUUGUGGGAAUGCAGUGCCGAAGGGAAGCCGUUAAGUUCACCACCUGGGAAGUACGGUCGCAAGGCCGAAACUUAAAGGAAUUGACGGGGGAGCACAACAAGGGGUGGAGUCUGCGGUUUAAUUGGACUCAACGCCGGGA
This 912-nucleotide ribosomal RNA is filed under the name uncultured marine euryarchaeote. Its description in RNAcentral is "SSU rRNA". It matches the Rfam family "Archaeal small subunit ribosomal RNA", at positions 1 to 923 of the family's 1478-position model. Lineage: Archaea; Methanobacteriati; Methanobacteriota. The record is from RNAcentral.